This 460-nucleotide ribosomal RNA is filed under the name uncultured bacterium. RNAcentral's name for it is "partial 16S ribosomal RNA". It matches the Rfam family "Bacterial small subunit ribosomal RNA", at positions 338 to 795 of the family's 1533-position model. The record is from RNAcentral.
CCUACGGGUGGCAGCAGUGAGGAAUAUUGGUCAAUGGACGAGAGUCUGAACCAGCCAAGUAGCGUGAAGGAUGACUGCCCUAUGGGUUGUAAACUUCUUUUAUAUGGGAAUAAAAUGUUCCACGUGUGGGAUUUUGUAUGUACCAUAUGAAUAAGGAUCGGCUAACUCCGUGCCAGCAGCCGCGGUAAUACGGAGGUUCCGAGCGUUAUCCGGAUUUAUUGGGUUUAAAGGGAGCGUAGGUGGAUUGUUAAGUCAGUUGUGAAAGUUUGCGGCUCAACCGUAAAAUUGCAGUUGAAACUGGCAGUCUUGAGUACAGUAGAGGUGGGCGGAAUUCGUGGUGUAGCGGUGAAAUGCUUAGAUAUCACGAAGAACUCCGAUUGCGAAGGCAGUUCACUGGACUGCAACUGACACUGAGGCUCGAAAGUGUGGGUAUCAAACAGGAUUAGAUACCCUAGUAGUC